GAACUUCUCAACCACAUUCAGAAAUUGUGAUGUGGCUUGGACUUUGGGGGUCUUCUUUGCAGGCUUUCCGAAAGGAAGGUCGGCUCCCCUGAAACGUAUUAGUGGCAUCUGAGCUGCUGCUAUUAGGUGUGAUAAUUAUCUAUGCCUUUGGUAUGCUGCAUGAACAGGUUGCGCUGCUUAUAAUAAUAAUAAUUUGACAA
This 200-nucleotide unclassified non-coding RNA is filed under the name uncultured Inocybe. RNAcentral describes it as "sequence contains ITS2". Lineage: Eukaryota; Fungi; Basidiomycota; Agaricomycetes; Agaricales; Cortinariaceae. The record is from RNAcentral.